AUGGCCCAGGAGAGGGGCAUCCUGGACCGGUCCUAGAGGACCGGUGGCCAAUGGAGAGCGGGAUAAAGGGCGUUUGAACUCGCCCUGCCUGUGCAGGUGGGUGAUCUCGGGAUGCUCUCCCAAGUGGGGCAUAGGCAGAAGCUCUGAAAAGGAGGCAGGUCGGCUAAGCUGGCUACAGGAUUCCUAGCUGAGCCUCCUUUCCAUAGAAAAGCUGGUACGAUCGCUCCUACAGCGGUUCCUUCGGGCCCUGGACCAAAUCCAGGAAACCCGCUGGAGCGCUCUGCUUUUCCGUUCGUUGGCACUGGAGAAGGGACUUACGAGCUUGUCGCUUCCCUUCCAUUUCCCGGAGAGAGUUUGAGGGAGGUGCUUGAGCCAAGGUUGGGAUCACUCACCGUUUUUAAUUCCACUCCUUCCCUGUAACAUUUUUCUCUCCCUAAACGCCAGACUGUUUUUUUUCCCCCUCUUUAUAGAAGGAUCCUCUUAUCCAUAAUCAUUCCUGGCACAUCCACUAUCAUCCUUUCUCACUCUUUUUGCCAAUGGACUUUGACUAGAAUGGGAAGAACAUUUAUCGAUAGAUAGAUAGAUAGAUAGAUAGAUAGAUAGAUAGAUAGAUAGAUAGAGGCAUGAAGUUUGUAAGAAGUUUGCAGUUUGUUUCUACAGUGGAAGAUUGCCUGCUGCCUUCCUUUUGAGACACAAGGCUGCUGUGGAAAACAGAGGGAGCAUUUUCUUCUCUAUAUCCCCAAGAGAGCAUUUUCUUCUCUAUGUCCCCAAGCUAGAACUGAAGUCAGGCCAGUGCUGAUUUUGAGACACAACAUGCAAAUACAGGUAUUGAGAUCUCCCUACCCUCCCUAAGAGAAAUGGGAGAAGAGUCCUGCUGCAGCUUUCUGCAAGGAUUGGAGCUGCUGUUUCAAAGGCUCCCAGAGACUUCUUGGGUUUGUGGGGAAAAGAGUGGGGGUGGGGCACAGGAAUAAUUUUCUCUCUUGCAAUCAAAGCACAUAAAAGGGGGGGGAAUCAGAACUGCUCAAGCAACAAAAAGAAGGUAGGUUUUAUAGCAUUGGGGGCCAUUCAUAUUGUCCAUCAUAGUAUACAUGAAUUGUAAAGAUUACUGAUUGGUGGUUAGUGACAUCAUACUAUUGUGGUAAUUAAAAUUAUACUCCUAAUUAAUAUUUUAAGGAUGACUGGAUACUACAGCAUGGUGUUGACUAGGCAGAGAGUGUCUUGGUUAAAGCCGAAUGAAAGUGAGUUGCUGGCAUGUAGCUUCAAUGGAUUACCUUGGGCAAAAAACCUGAUGCAUUAAGAAGUGGAGCUAAUGGAAAAGCAUUGUGCUUCAUAUUCUACUUGCACAUUCUGAUAUUUUCAAAAGGCAAAAAUACUUAUUAAAUUUAGAAGAUAGAACUGGAUAUCUGUUGCUUUCUGGAUAUUCUGCUGUAGUUCAGUAAUGCUUCCUUCUUAUUAGCUUUAUAAUAGUAGCAAUAUCAACAUGAUUCUUUUAAAGCAAUGUUCUUUAUUGAAAAGACAAAACUCCAGCUGGUCCUGAUACUCAAUACAAAUUUUUAGGUUUAUAAAGUCUAGGUGCAAGCUGCAAGGUUUUGGACUUUGGAAUUCUGAUUUUAAAACAGGUGGAUCCUAUAAGCUGACAUCACAAUGUAACACAGGAACUUACCUUAGCAACAGAAAGUCACUUGACUAAUAGGAUGUUGCAGUGUGUGAGAUCUUUUGCAGGGUAGAAAACAUAUUUGGCAAAGGGAUGCCAGAAAGACAUUUCAUUACCAGGCUUGGUAACAUCAUUGGGGCAUAAGAAAGUAGAAUUCGGUGGCUGUUUAUCUAUGGUAAACUAUCCCUCUGUGAUGUGAGCUAAGCCUGAAUGAAAGAGGAGAUCCUGAGGAUGUGGGCCUCUUCCAUCUGGCAAAGACUGGAGGUGUCUGGAAAUGAGGGUGGAUUGUGUACACAAAAAGCUCCAUACUUAUCAACCUUACUGUCUGGCACAUGAUGAAUAUUCAUUCCAUUACUCAAGUUUAGUUUAAAUGGUAUCAAUAAAAUAUUCCGGUUUUCA
This is a non-coding RNA of Pantherophis guttatus, 2053 nucleotides long. The record is from RefSeq and is a predicted model, not a curated record. NCBI's taxonomy places the organism in Eukaryota, Metazoa, Chordata, Lepidosauria, Squamata, Colubridae.